AAGGAUUAUUAUUUUUCACUCCAUGAACAUAAGUACUGCGAUCAUGCAUUAUCACGGACAGCUUCUUCAUUCGAUGAAUUUGAUGGGUUAGGGAUAUAAGUUGAAGAAGAAACACUUUAAACAUAUUAAUCAUAUUUGCAAACAAAUAAAAGAAAAAGGAAAAGAAAUUGGUUGCCAAAUUCCAACACUUGCAAAAUAAAUUAACAAGCAAAAC
This 214-nucleotide long non-coding RNA is filed under the name Citrus sinensis (sweet orange). RNAcentral describes it as "long non-coding RNA (CSIN_LNC003478)". The record is from RNAcentral. Lineage: Eukaryota; Viridiplantae; Streptophyta; Magnoliopsida; Sapindales; Rutaceae.